Molecule: ribosomal RNA, 505 nt
Filed under: Xylaria enteroleuca
Lineage: Eukaryota; Fungi; Ascomycota; Sordariomycetes; Xylariales; Xylariaceae
Description: eukaryotic LSU rRNA
Rfam family: 5.8S ribosomal RNA (bases 150-303)
Source: RNAcentral
CAUACCUUACGUUGCCUCGGCAGGGUCGCGCCUACCUAGUAGCGCCCUACCCUGAUAGGGCCUACCCGGGGAGACGCGGGCUAAGCCUGCCGGCGGCCCACGAAACUCUGUCUGAUAUUGAAUUCUGAACCUAUAACUAAAUAAGUUAAAACUUUCAACAACGGAUCUCUUGGUUCUGGCAUCGAUGAAGAACGCAGCGAAAUGCGAUAAGUAAUGUGAAUUGCAGAAUUCAGUGAAUCAUCGAAUCUUUGAACGCACAUUGCGCCCAUUAGUAUUCUAGUGGGCAUGCCUGUUCGAGCGUCAUUUCNACCCUUAAGCCUCUGUUGCUUAGCGUUGGGAGCCUACAGCACCUGUAGCUCCUCAAAGUUAGUGGCGGAGUCGGUUCACACUCUAGACGUAGUAAUUCUUUCUCGCCUAUUAGUUGGAACCGGUCUCCCGCCGUAAAACCCCCUAUUUCUAAAGGUUGACCUCGGAUCAGGUAGGAAUACCCGCUGAACUUAAGCAU